Molecule: unclassified non-coding RNA, 328 nt
Filed under: soil metagenome
Description: partial contains 5.8S ribosomal RNA, internal transcribed spacer 2, and large subunit ribosomal RNA
Rfam family: 5.8S ribosomal RNA (bases 1-120)
Source: RNAcentral
GAUGAAGAACGUAGCGAAAUGCGAUAAGUAAUGUGAAUUGCAGAAUUCAGUGAAUCAUCGAAUCUUUGAACGCACAUUGCGCCCCCUGGCAUUCCGGGGGGCAUGCCUGUCCGAGCGUCAUUACAACCCUCAAGCUCAGCUUGGUGUUGGGCCCCGCCGCCCCGGCGGGCCCUAAAGUCAGUGGCGGUGCCGUCCGGCUCCGAGCGUAGUAAUUCUUCUCGCUCUGGAGGUCCGGUCGCGUGCUCGCCAGCAACCCCCAAUUUUUUUCAGGUUGACCUCGGAUCAGGUAGGGAUACCCGCUGAACUUAAGCAUAUCAAAAGCGGAGGA